Molecule: unclassified non-coding RNA, 203 nt
Filed under: Leptographium conjunctum
Lineage: Eukaryota; Fungi; Ascomycota; Sordariomycetes; Ophiostomatales; Ophiostomataceae
Description: internal trancribed spacer 2
Source: RNAcentral
CCUCCCUCACGCAGCGCGCCUGCGUGGUGUUGGGGCGUUCUGCGGCCAGGCCUGCGCCCAGCGCAGGCCGCCGCAGCCCCCGAAAGCCAGUGGCGGGCCGGCAGCGGGCUCCGAGCGCAGUAAGCAUCACGCCCUCGCUCUGGACGCCCCCGCCUGCGCCCUGCCCCCAUACCGGCAGACGCGAGUCUGCCCCCUUCUCAAGG